Molecule: ribosomal RNA, 468 nt
Filed under: uncultured bacterium
Lineage: Bacteria
Description: partial 16S ribosomal RNA
Rfam family: Bacterial small subunit ribosomal RNA
Source: RNAcentral
GACGAACGCUGGCGGCGUGCUUAACACAUGCAAGUCGAACGGAAAGGCCCUGCUUUUGUGGGGUGCUCGAGUGGCGAACGGGUGAGUAACACGUGAGUAACCUGCCCUUGACUUUGGGAUAACUUCAGUAAACUGGGGCUAAUACAGGAUAGGAGCUCCUGCUGCAUGGUGGGGGUUGGAAAGUUUCGGCGGUUGUGGAUGGACCCGCGGCUUAUCAGCUUGUUGGUGGGGUAGUGGCUUACCAAGGCUUUGACGGGUAGCCGGACUGAGAGGGUGACCGGCCACAUUGGGAUUGAGAUACGGCCCAUACGCCUACGGGGGGCAGCAGUGGGGAAUAUUGCAAACUGGGCGGAAGCCUUAUGCAGCAACGCCGCGUGCGGGAUGACGGCCGUCGGGUUGUAAACCGCUUUCGCCUGUGACGAAGCGUGAGUGACGGUAAUGGGUAAAGAAGCACCGGCUAACUACGUG